CCGUCUCCGACCGACCACUCAAGUCUCAACUAUCAUUGCACCCAUUAGAGCUAGUUACCAUUGUGGUUGUGGUAGUACCCAAAGGACUUCCCUUAGCUGCCACUCUUACGAGGCUUCGAGAAGGAUGAUAAUGAUAAUG
This is a long non-coding RNA of Ipomoea nil (Japanese morning glory), 139 nucleotides long. RefSeq lists it as uncharacterized. The record is from RefSeq and is a predicted model, not a curated record. The transcript is spliced from 3 exons. NCBI's taxonomy places the organism in Eukaryota, Viridiplantae, Streptophyta, Magnoliopsida, Solanales, Convolvulaceae.